Molecule: unclassified non-coding RNA, 458 nt
Filed under: uncultured Clavulina
Lineage: Eukaryota; Fungi; Basidiomycota; Agaricomycetes; Cantharellales; Hydnaceae
Description: sequence contains ITS2
Rfam family: 5.8S ribosomal RNA (bases 1-154)
Source: RNAcentral
AACUUUUGGCAACGGAUCACUUGGCUCUCGCAUCGAUGAAGAACGCAGCGAAAUGCGAUCAGUAAUGUGAAUUGCAGAAUUUAGUGAAUCAUUGAAUCUUUGAACGCACCUUGCGCUCCCUGGUAUUCCGGGGAGGACGCCUGUUCGAGUGUCGCGAAAUUUCUCAAGCUUGGAUGGCCUUUAUGUCUGUCCUUAGCCUUGGUUGUGGGGCUUUGCCUUGUCCUUCAUUGGGACGGCUGGCCUUAAAUGCAUUAGCUGAUCCUUGUGUGGCACUCGUUCUACUCAGCGUGAUAAUAGUCUGAUCGCUGAGGACAUCUUUCGGGAUGGCCAGUCCUCAUUUGGGUUGCUUCUAACCUUGGUGUUGCAAGUUAUUUCAAUCUGUAAUGCCACUUUUCAGCUUUGACCUCGAAUCAGGUGGGACUACCCGCUGAACUUAAGCAUAUCAAUAAGCGGAGGCU